GAGUUUGAUCCUGGCUCAGGAUGAACGCUGGCGGCGUGCUAAUACAUGCAAGUCGAACGGAGGUUGUAGCAAUACGACCUUAGUGGCGAACGGGUGAGUAACGCGUUGGUGACCUGCCCCGAAGUGUGGGAUAACAGCUCGAAAGGGCUGCUAAUACCGCAUGUGAUCCCCCGGAUUAGAGGCCGGGUGAUUAAAGGCGAAAGUCGCUUCGGGAGGGGCCUGCGUCCCAUCAGCUAGUUGGUAGGGUAAUGGCCUACCAAGGCGAUGACGGGUAGGGGACCUGAGAGGGUGGCCCCCCACAAUGGAACUGAAACACGGUCCAUACACCUACGGGUGGCAGCAGUAGGGAAUAUUGGUUAAUGGGCGAAAGCCUGAACCAGCAACGCCGCGUGCGCGAUGAAGGCCUUCGGGUUGUAAAGCGCUUUUUGAGGGGAAGAGGAAGGACGGUACCCUCAGAAUAAGUCUCGGCUAACUACGUGCCAGCAGCCGCGGUAACACGUAGGAGACGAGCGUUAUCCGGAUUUACUGGGCGUAAAGCGCGUGCAGGCGGUUCAGCAAGUUGGAUGUGAAAGCUCCCGGCUUAACUGGGAGAGGUCGUUCAAUACUACUGGACUUGAGAGUGGUAGAGGGAGGUGGAAUUCCGGGUGUAGUGGUGAAAUGCGUAGAUAUCCGGAGGAACACCAGUGGCGAAAGCGGCCUCCUGGACCACUUCUGACGCUCAGACGCGAAAGCUAGGGUAGCGAACGGGAUUAGAUACCCUGGUAGUC
This 767-nucleotide ribosomal RNA is filed under the name uncultured Bellilinea sp. RNAcentral's name for it is "bacterial SSU rRNA". It matches the Rfam family "Bacterial small subunit ribosomal RNA", at positions 9 to 795 of the family's 1533-position model. The record is from RNAcentral. Lineage: Bacteria; Bacillati; Chloroflexota; Anaerolineae; Anaerolineales; Anaerolineaceae.